CGUGACCGUGGAAUACGUUUGCAAUGCCGUUGGUGCCGCGACUACGUGCAUGACUCCGCGGUCGCCUCCUUUUUGUGCGGGUUUGUGCGAACGGUGCGUGUAUAUAUAUGUACGAUAUGGCUCCGCCCACCAACUCCCACAGGGUUUUUUUCUUUUGUUUACACCGUGUGGUCCGCCGACGAGGCCUUCGUUUGCCGGUGCUGACAGACAGGUCGACCUUCGACGCUACACGGUAUGCUACGUUGAAUGGUGCGGAACAUUUGCAUUGCGAGCGGAACCUUUUGACAAGAAAGAGAGAGAGAGAAAGACAUCUGCUAGGCCUACAGCUGAAAACGAACGUAUCCUCGCCCAACAGCGGCAGCAGCAGCAGCAGCAGCAGCUUUCCCGACAUUUGCAUCACCCGCAACGGCCGUAUGCGCAAGCGCCG
Non-coding RNA from Dermacentor albipictus, 427 nucleotides. Lineage: Eukaryota; Metazoa; Arthropoda; Arachnida; Ixodida; Ixodidae. The record is from RefSeq and is a predicted model, not a curated record.